RNAcentral lists this ribosomal RNA (204 nucleotides) under uncultured bacterium. Its description in RNAcentral is "partial 16S ribosomal RNA". It matches the Rfam family "Bacterial small subunit ribosomal RNA", at positions 524 to 725 of the family's 1533-position model. The record is from RNAcentral.
UACGUAGGUGGCAAGCGUUGUCCGGAAUUAUUGGGCGUAAAGCGCGCGCAGGCGGUCCUUUAAGUCUGAUGUGAAAUCCCGUGGCCUUAACCACGGGCGGUCAUUGGAAACUGGGGGACUUGAGUGCAGAAGAGAAGAGCGGAAUUCCACGUGGUAGCGGUGAAAUGCGUAGAGAUGUGGAGGAACACCAGUGGCGAAGGCGGC